AUGGAAUCUUUUUCUUUUCAUGCAAUGUUAACAAGGAACCUAUCCAAUGACACUUGUGUUUGCCUCCUUUUGAGAAUUUCACGGAAAUGUGGUGAUGUU
Molecule: long non-coding RNA, 99 nt
Organism: Lynx canadensis (Canada lynx)
Lineage: Eukaryota; Metazoa; Chordata; Mammalia; Carnivora; Felidae
Exons: 3
Source: RefSeq, a predicted model, not a curated record